UACAGAGGUCCCAAGCGUUGUUCGGAUUCAUUGGGCGUAAAGGGUGCGUAGGUGGCGCGCUAAGUCAGGGGUGAAAUUUCGGAGCUUAACUCCGAAACUGCAUUUGAUACUGGCGUGCUUGAGGACUGGAGAGGAGACUGGAAUUUACGGUGUAGCAGUGAAAUGCGUAGAGAUCGUAAGGAAGACCAGUGGCGAAGGCGGGUCUCUGGACAGUUCCUGACACUGAGGCACGAAGGCCAGGGGAGCAAACGGG
This 253-nucleotide ribosomal RNA is filed under the name uncultured bacterium. RNAcentral's name for it is "partial 16S ribosomal RNA". It matches the Rfam family "Bacterial small subunit ribosomal RNA", at positions 524 to 776 of the family's 1533-position model. The record is from RNAcentral.